AUUGAACGCUGGCGGAAUGCUUUACACAUGCAAGUCGAACGAUGAACCUUAGCUUGCUAAGGGGAUUAGUGGCGAACGGGUGAGUAAUAUAUCGGAACGUGCCUUGUAAUGGGGGAUAACUAGUCGAAAGAUUAGCUAAUACCGCAUACGCCCUGAGGGGGAAAGUAGGGGAUCUUCGGACCUUACGUUAUAAGAGCGGCCGAUAUCUGAUUAGCUAGUUGGUGGGGUAAUGGCCUACCAAGGCGACGAUCAGUAGCUGGUCUGAGAGGACGACCGGCCACACUGGAACUGAGACACGGUCCAGACUCCUACGGGAGGCAGCAGUGGGGAAUUUUGGACAAUGGGCGCAAGCCUGAUCCAGCCAUUCCGCGUGAGUGAAGAAGGCCUUCGGGUUGUAAAGCUCUUUCGCAAGGGAAGAAAACUUACCAUCGAAUAAAUGGUGAGGCUGACGGUACCUUGAUAAGAAGCACCGGCUAACUACGUG
Molecule: ribosomal RNA, 484 nt
Filed under: uncultured bacterium
Lineage: Bacteria
Description: partial 16S ribosomal RNA
Rfam family: Bacterial small subunit ribosomal RNA
Source: RNAcentral